GAAGUUUCGAGUUUCGGAGUUGUAAAUUUUGGGUUGGAAUAUAUUUGCAGACAUUCCUUGAGUUGUUUCUUUUUUUUACUUUUAACCUACUUGCAGUCAGACCAUAUCACUAGAUUGGCUCCUCUACUCAUUGGUACCAAUAGAACAAACACAGCGAUAACUAAAACUCUGCUCAAUCAGGUACAAUCUACAAUGUUCCUCAGGUAAUUUGUAACAUCAUAUAUCAUUUGUGAAGGUAAAUCUCUCAUAGUUAUCAUUUGUUAUUAUUCCUGUGUUUUUCAUAAUCUCUAGAUUUUCAGAAAUUGUAAGUUGAUACCUUGCUGAGCAAUAUUAUUCCUUUUCUUUGGGUGAUUCAGGAAGUACCAUUCUUUCUAGGAACCAAACUAACUUCAUGCAGAAAUUGUACCAACUACAAAAACGAGUAUAGGGUGUUACAAGUACUGAUAUUGAAGUGAUUUUGGUUAAUUCAAAUUUUUGCUCUAUUCAGAAUUGAAAUAAUUAGUUUUAAUACUGAAGGCUAUUUCUAUAUUCACUAACUCCUCUUUUCCUUCUUCUUAGUGAAGUUGCUUCAAGAAAUUCAUACUAGAGUUUGCAAUUUGGGUGUGAAGCAACUGCUUCAGCAAUCUCAUAGUUUUUCCUUUUGUUUUCCAUCACUUUCAGCAGAGUAGGUACUAUUUAAGAUUGAGAUUGAGACAGACUGCAUCCAGGAAGCAAAGGCUCAAGCAAUGAGUCCACCCUUUUUGUUGAGGUAAAGAGACAAACUAGGAUUAAGUGAUUCCAUGGUGAAACUAUUUAGCCAUGGCUCCAAGAUGUUAGAAGAAAUGAAGGAAGAAAAAGCAAGAGUGUGAAAGUGAGUGAGGAGGACAUUUGGUCGAAGAAGCAUGCAAAAUUAGAAGGUGGGGACAAAAAAGAAGCAAAGCCUC
Rosa chinensis is the source of this 923-nucleotide long non-coding RNA. RefSeq lists it as uncharacterized. The transcript has 4 exons. The record is from RefSeq and is a predicted model, not a curated record. Lineage: Eukaryota; Viridiplantae; Streptophyta; Magnoliopsida; Rosales; Rosaceae.